CUUCUCUUGAGGGUUAGAUACAUCUUCUCUGACUGAACCCAGACCCAGAAGUCCUCAACUAUAUAUGUGUUGGGUGCCUCAUCUCAGCUGGUAUAUGCUGCCUGGUUAGUGGUCCAGUGACUGGGAGAUCCCAGGGAUCCAGGUUAACUGAGAUGGCUGGUCCUCCUACAGGGUGGUCCUCCUCCUCAUCUUCUUCCAGCUUUUCCCUAAUUCAACCACAGAGGUCAGCAGCUUCUGUCCAUUGGUUGGGUAUAAAUGUCUGCAUCCAACUCUUUCAGCUGCUCAUUGGAUCUUUUGGAGGUUUGGGAAUGUGCAUGAACAUGUAUGAGAGUGCAGGUAUACACAUGCCUCAGCAUGGAGAUCAGAGGACAACCUCAGGAGCCAGUCCUUGCUACUUAACUGCCACGUUUUUUUUCAAACACUUCUCUUCAUGUUCACUGCUGAGUGUGCCAGACUAGCUUAGCCACAAGAAUCCAUGGAUUCUCCCAUCUGUUUCUCCUACCCCACUAUAGAAACUAGGAUUAAAGACUCGGGCUACUACAUAGGCUUUUAACCUGACUCUAGGGAUUGGAAUCCAGAUCCUUACGCAUGAAGCACUGUAGUGGGAAUUUUGUUUACUUUAAAAACCCAAUUAUGUUAUGUAUGUUUUCUUUGCUUUAAUGCAAGGUCUGGGAUGUGGGUUUUCUUCAGUUUGUUCGCAGCCAUUAACUAUGAUUGUCUAGUGCUCUCAGAGGGGCAUAAUUUUUGUCAGCUGCAAAUAGUUUAAUUCUGGGGACAAUGGAGAAGGAAUUGAUGCCAUAAACUGGAAAGGAUCAGUAGAUGCUCAGAAGAAGAGGAGGAGGAGGAAGAAAAAGAAAUCCAGCCCUACAAAGGAUAAUAGAUGGAAAACUCCAACACAAGGAGGGAAACAACACCCUAGAAUAAGCAAGAAAGUAAUCUCCAGCCAUUUGCCUACGAAUUUCAUAAAGUCGUUGUUUUUGAUAGCUGAGUAAUAUUCCAUUGUGUAGAUGUACCACAUUUUCUGUAUCCAUUCCUCUGUUGAAGGGCAUCUGGGUUCUUUCCAGCUUCUGGCUAUUAUAAAUAAGGCUGCA
Molecule: long non-coding RNA, 1091 nt
Organism: Rattus norvegicus (Norway rat)
Lineage: Eukaryota; Metazoa; Chordata; Mammalia; Rodentia; Muridae
Source: Ensembl